RNAcentral lists this ribosomal RNA (252 nucleotides) under uncultured bacterium. RNAcentral's name for it is "partial 16S ribosomal RNA". It matches the Rfam family "Bacterial small subunit ribosomal RNA", at positions 524 to 776 of the family's 1533-position model. The record is from RNAcentral.
UACGUAGGGUGCGAGCGUUAAUCGGAAUUACUGGGCGUAAAGCGUGCGUAGGCGGUUCGCUGUGUCCGAUGUGAAAGCCCCGGGCUUAACCUGGGAAUGGCAAUGGAGACUGCAAGGCUAGAGUUUGGCAGAGGGGGUAGAAUUCCACGUGUAGCAGUGAAAUGCGUAGAUAUGUGGAGGAACACCGAUGGCGAAGGCAGCCCCUGGGUCAAAAACUGACGCUCAUGCACGAAAGCGUGGGGAGCAAACAGG